Long non-coding RNA from Anolis carolinensis (green anole), 9391 nucleotides. RefSeq lists it as uncharacterized. Lineage: Eukaryota; Metazoa; Chordata; Lepidosauria; Squamata; Anolidae. The transcript has 2 exons. The record is from RefSeq and is a predicted model, not a curated record.
GGCUUGGUGUGCAUCUCUGCGUCAUUAAUGUGGUUUGACGCUGCUUUAACUGCCGUGGCGCACGACUAUGGAAUCCUGGGGGCUGUAGUUUUGCACUCUUGGGUAGAGAAGACUUUGGGAAACGACAACCACCACUGUUGCAUAGCAUUGAAACACGGCAGUUAAAAAUAAUGUCAAGGGAUUGUGUUGUCGAAGGCUUUCAUGGCCGGAACCACUGGGUUGCUGUGAGUUUUCCGGGCUGUAUUUGGCCGUGUUCCAGAAGCAUUCUCCUAACGUUUGGCCCACAUCUAUGGCAGGCAUGCUCGGAAAUUGUGAGGUCUGUAGGAGACUAAGCAAGUGGGGUUUAUAUAUCUGUGGAAGGUCCAAGGUGGGGGAAAGGACUCUUGUCUGUUUGAGGCAACUGUGAAUGUUUCCUGCCUUGUUGGGAGGUGUUAGCUGGCCCUGAUUGAUUCACGUCUGGAAUUAAUCAACUCACACCUCCCAACAAAGGAUUCCCCCAGGCAGGAAGCAGGAAUCUGCUCAGUGGUCUAAAUCCUUCACUGCAGACAACUAUUAUUUCACUGAAUGAGGACUUGGUGCUCUUUCCAAAGACAAACGUGCCUUCUAUGAAGUGAAGUUCACAGGACAUGACUAACCACCUUACCACAUUGGGAAAUUUCCCCCUCCUGGGGCCCUUAAGCCUCUUUUCAAGCAUGGAGAGGCACUGCGCUCAUCGCAUGAGUUCGACUACUUCUGACAGUCAUGCAUAGCCCUCCAUGGUUGAAAAGAGGCAGGAGUGUCCUGACACAUUGCUCCAACACAUUGCUCUUAUCCUACCUUCAGUGGGAAGGGCUGUCUAAGUUACAGAUAGCUAAGUAAGCAAUACACAAGGAUAGGUCUCUGGUUACCUCUGAUGGACAAACCUUUUCAUAGUUAACGUACAGCAUACAAAGCAUGAGUCCUGAACCAUAGUGACCUCUGUGUUUGAUUUAUGACUCAGACUCAUACAAAGAAGGAAGAAAGUAGAAGUCAGAUUCCAUGGAAUCAAAAACAGAUCUUCCUGAUUUAAUUUGAUUUUUUCCAAAUUAUAUAACUCAAACUGCCCUAAUGCCAGAGAUUUCCUUUGGCUCGAUCAGUUGGACCAGAGUAAUCAUGUACUUGGUGCAUUCUGGAGCUGCCACAGUACAAAAACAUGGGCCCUACCCAGACCUUAUUAAAAAUGUGCUGGCCUUCAAUAAAAUUACUUUAUUUCUCUGGCCAUUGUGAACCCCUGUAGUUGAAGAUGGGCAACUGAAGCACAUUCCUUUGGGUGCCUGCUGGUUCAGUUCUUGUUCCAGGCACCAGCAUGCAAGCAGCACCUUUUGGUUUUUAAGAAGUUUUCAGCAGUAUCCAAGCCUCCAAGGUUUCAAACACCAUUACCAGAAGGUCUGAGGCACCCUGCCCUUUGGCCAAGGUCUGGAAGCAUGUCCUCUGUGUUCUGCUCCAGAGAUUGAUGCUUCUAAUAGUAAAAAAAAAUCAAGAACAAAAAAACAUUUCCUUGUAAUCUGAUGAUUCCUGGAAUGUCUCAACCACUGGGCCUGCGCUUAUCAGACAUGGGUUUAAUUAGAAAACAGUAUUUCCUACAAUCACUCCUGUGGUGGCAAGUCUAUCACAGGGUUUUCUUCAUAGAAUUGGUUCAAAAGUGGGUUUCCCUAGCUUUCCUCUGAGGUUAAGAGGGUUGACCUGCCCAAGGUCACUCUGGGGGUUUCCAGGGCCAAGAUGGAUUCAAACCCAGGUAUCCCAAUGUCCCAGGCACUCAAUCUUCUAUGCUAUGCUACUGUCCCAAGUAGGAUGUUUGUAUAGACAUAACCAUUAAUCUCUCUUUCAGCCAUGGGUUGAAAAUGUCCGGUCAGGAACCAGCUUGUAAAACAUUCAUGGAGAUGGUAGCAGCUUUAUAAUAUCUCAGGAAAGGUCUUUCUCUCCAGCAUUCUCUGUUAGGACUCUUGUCAUUAUAGUGUGUGUAGUUCCGUAAUCAGAAUCUCCAGAAAAUGAGUUUGAGGUCUUACUCAUUCUGACUCAACAGCAUGGCUAGCCAAUCAAGAGGUGGUGGGUAGCACAAAAUAUAGCUACAGUAGAGUCUCACUUAUCCAAGCUAUACGGGCCGGAAGAAGCUUGGAUAAGCUAAUAUCUUGGAUAAUGAGGGAUUAAGGAAAAGCCUAUUAAACAUCAAACUAGGUUAUGAUUUUACAAAUUAAGCACCAAAACAUCAUGUUAUACAACAAAUUUGAUGGAAAAAGUAGUUCAAUAAGCAGUAAUGUUAUGUUGUAAUUACUGUAUUUACCAAUUUAGCACCAAAAUAUCAUGAUAUGUUGAAAACAUUGUCUACAAAAAUGGCUUGGAUAAUCCAGAAGCUUGGAUAAUCGAGGCUUGGAUAAGUGAGACUCUACUGUAUUUACAGAUGAGAUCCCUUGGAGACCAUGUAAAAUGUAUUACUUCUACUGCCUGACUGUGGAUCAGGUGUGGGUGACUCCCAAGCCUCCAAUUAUAGUACUUUGGCCAAGAUGCCUAUUGGUAAUAGGAAUUGCAUUCCAAUAACAUCUGGAAAAAUAGAAAUUGGCCUCCUCUGUUGCAGAUUAUAAUGGAAUUGCUCGUGAGGGAAGGGAGUGUUCUGUUGCCUAGAAAACACACAUUGUUGGGGUUGUUGUAUGUCUUUCGGGCUGUGUGGCCAUGUUCCAGAAGCAUUCUCUCCUGACGUUUCGCCCACAUCUAUGGCAGGCAUCCUCAGAGGUUGUGAGGUAUGGAUAAACAAAACACACAUUGUUGCCCCUUAAUGAUGAAAGCAAUUACGGUAUUGCAAACUGGGGAGCCACCUUAACUGUAUGGAUUGCUGUUUGUGAAAUACAAAAUAUAUACACUGAAAGGAUGCACUUGUAGCUAAAGAAACAUGUCCUAAUGCUCUACUUUAGAAACCACAUUGCUUCUUUGAUCUUGUUUUUGCAUUCAUAAGCAAACUUUCCACUGCCAAAUAGUUGUUUCAUUGCAGAAGGCAGCAGUGCAGAGCACUUUUGAUAGGUACUGCAUGUAUGACUAGAGGCAAGAGAACUCAGAACAAGCAAAAAUUUCCAUCUUACAAAAACAAGGAUUUAUUUCUCAUUUAUUAUAAAAUCCAUUCUGCUGCAGUGUUCACUACAAUCUUUGCCACUUCAUUUUUACUCUGUUACUAAGCUGAAAAUGUUUCAUGGAGGCUUACAUAUUUUGCCCUCAAUUGAUGCUUUUGCAGUAGAUAGAACACUGAAGGAAACAGCGAUGGGAAGGUGAUGGUGGUAACUGGGUAACAGAUAUCAAUUCUUAAAGUUUACAGUUGCAGGUAUAUCAGAAUCUAUUUACUGCAACAUAAAAUACUUUAGUCAUAACUUGGCAUAUAAAAUUGUACUAAUGGAUAUCUGGGAUACUGUGGGAUGUAUUUUAGAGGAUGAUCCUAUUUGAUCUUGGAAAGUAAGCAGGGCCGGCCUGCUUACUACUUGGAUGGGAAACUGCCAACAAAUAGCAGAUACUGUAGGAUGUACAGUAUUUCAUAGGAACAAACUGGCAAAAUCGCCUAAGAGUAUCCCUGGCCUAAGAAAACUCUUUCAUAUUUGAUUGUGCUAAGUUGACAGGCAACUUGGAGGCACAUCUAUCUAUAAAAUUUAAAAUGAUAAAGUCUUAAUUUACAAGGAAACCAUGACUAUAUGCUACCAAAAUACCCUGCUAACUUCUGGAACAAUUCCAUUAGCAAUGCCUCUGAAAAAUCCUGCAAAUCUCUUGAGAAGACAGGCAGACAGAUGUCAGUGUGCUGGAAGAAGCAAAGAUCCUCCACCAUCAACUUUGCUGGACUGGCCAUGUUCCCCGAAUGCCCAAUCACUGUACUCCCAACUCAAGAAUGGAAAACGGAAUGUUGGUGGACAGCAAAAGAGAUUUAAAGAUGGGCUUAAAGCUAGCCUUAAAAACUGGCAUAGACAAUGAGAACUGGGAAGCCCUGGCCCUUGAGCGCUGUAAUGAGAUCAGCUGUUCCCAGCAGUGCUGUGGAAUUAGAAGAGGCAUGAGUGAAGGGAGAAAGGUAGAAACGUGUCAAGAGGAAGGCGCGUCAAGUCAACUUUUGUUGGGACCAUAUUUCAUCUGGAAAUCAAUGUGCUCACUGUAAAAAAAUAGAUCUCUACAGUCAUCUAUGGACCCACCGCCAAGACCCUAUACUUUGAAGGCAAUCAGACCAAUUGUCACACCCAGUGGUAUCUGCUUGGAUCUUAGUUUUUACCAUCACAAAAGUAAAUUGGAAAAUGGGGAAAAAAGAAACCACAACACUUAUUAUAAACAGAAGGAAGUGUAGUAUUUGUUUCUAGGAUGGUAUGCAACCCAUCAUAUGUAGCUGGGGUGCAACUUCCAGCAUUCCUCACAAUUGGCUAUGAGGACUAGAACUGCUGAGAGUUGUACUCCAAUAACAUCUGAAGGGCCAUAUAACUCCCAAUUCCUGAUUUAGACACAAUAUUUGGAAUAGAAGCAUAUUUGAAUAUAAUUUUUCAUUCAACAUUUAAAAUACUCAAUUCCAUUAAAAAUGACAAAAAUCAGUCUUCCAAAUGUGAUCUUUUUUCAUGCAUCUUGGAUUUGAAUCUAAUUGUAAGCACAGGGAUUGUUUUCUAACUCUUUGGACUGUCUCAAAAUCUUCAUAUUAGCUAAUUGCUGGGAUUCUUGAGGAGGAGGAAAACCAUGUCUUUAAAAGCACUGCACUAAAUGCAGAAUUAAAAAUAUCCCAUUAAUUUCCCCCUUUCUGUUAUAAAGUUUAAAAUUUUCCAAUGUGAGUGGGAAAAUAUUAUUCAAUUUUUAAUUGUUUAUUUUCCUGGGCUUUCAUAUGUCAAAGCUGGGGAAAAAAAUUGAAACCUCGAAGACGUAAUUCUAUGUGAAUGUUGACAGUACUGGACUAGAUGUACUUAGGACAGCUUCUUAUGGGUUUUUUUAAAUAGGUAGACAGUUAUAAUGAAUGAAAGUAAAUUAAUUAUCAAUUAAAUGGGAAAAUGAAAAAGAAAGCUUUGCUUUCAACACUCCUCUGCAUUUUCCUGAGUUUAUUACAAACCUUUUGCAGCAAUUUCUUGACUCAUAGUGACCACAGGGGGAAUUUAGAAACACCGAUAGGCUGCCUUGUUGCAUAAUACAGAUCAAGAGAAUUCUUUUUCUCAUCUAGCCUUUGAGCAAAUGAGUUAAGGUCACUGCUUUUUGAUGACAAAUAUUCAGAUUACAGAUGAUAGCCUGAAGAGGUGGUAAUGCAAGCAUGUGGAAAUAACUUGCUAGGAAUGGGAAAAAUAUACAGCUGUUCUUGCCUUCAACAAUCUGGUGUAAAGGCUACUGGGAGUAUUGUCAGUGGGUUUUUUUAAUCGUAAAGCAAUUAUCCAAUACUUGCUCAGAUUGUUUCUACUGCUUUUUUUUGGCUAUUCCUAGAAAUUGUGAUGCUAAAAGUAUAAAAAAAACCCUGAAAUCAUUAAACAGUUUAUUUUAUAACAUUUGUUACUUGCUUUUUAUUAUGAAAUAGCCCCAAAUUAUUGGAGUCCCAAAUUAUCGGAGCCCUUGGUGGUGCAGGGGGUUAAACAGCCGAGCUGCUGAACUUGCUGACCAAAAGGUCAGUGGUUCAAAUCGGGGGAGCGGAGUGAGCUCCCACUGUUAGCCCCAGCUUCUGCCAACCUAACAGUUCGAAAACAUGCAAAUGUGAGUAGAUCAAUAGGUACCACUCUGGUGGGAAGGUAACAGCACUCCAUGCAAUCAUGCCAGCCACAUGACCUUGGAGGUAUCAAUGGUCCAUGCUGGCUCUUCGGCUUAGAAAUGGAGAUGAGCACCAACCACCAGAGUCAGACACAGCUAGACUUAAUGUCAGGGGAAAACCUUUACCUUUAGCCCCAAAUUUAAAUACAGCUGUACAAUCUAUAGUUACCAAAAAAACAGGAAAUUGGAAGAAAGCAUACACUAUUAAAAAUCAGUGUGCGCAAUACGGUGACACAGAUUCAGCCCAAAGGUUGGGUGAUUAAGUAGGUCAUCAGUUUGCAAGGCACGCUUACAAAAACAUGAUGCUAAUGCUACUGCUGUCUGAACAGAGCCAGUAGGGUGUAGAAAGAGAUUUGGCUGGCAAUUCAGUCUUUACCUAAGGGCUUUUUGGGGCUUGGCUGAUGAAUGAGCUAAAAGGCAGGUGGAGGAGGGAAUUCCUUUCAGGCAGGCUUAAUGAUUUGUUUAAAAUGGUUUCACUAUUUUUGUGGAGGAUUUUCUCAAACAGGAGAGCUAUGGCUACCUUUGCAUAUGACCAAUCUUUGAAAGAGCAAUAAUGGCGGUCUGGGUGUAUGUGGAGAGCACUUAAUUUCAGAAACCAAACCAAUCUUUACAGAAGAUGUCAUGCAAUGCUAUCAUCAUAGGCAAUCACUUGUGGCUGAGUAUGAUUGUCUUCUAAGUUUAGAGUCUUGGCAGUGGGUCUUUAAAUGAUUGUGGAGACCUAUUUUGGAUCUGCAUGGUCUUUCAAAACAUAGAUUUCCAGAUGGAAGGCAGUCACAACUAUGGUGCUCCUUACUCUAGGCACAUUUAUUCCUUUCAUCCUCUAUUCGUGCCUCCCCAAAAUAUAUAGCACCCUUAGUAACAGCUCCAGUCACAACAUCUGAGGGCAGGGCUUCCCAGUUCUUGAUGUUUAAACCCAUCUUUAAAUAUUGUUUGUUGUCCACUGACAUUCUGUUUUCCAUUUUUGAGCUGAAAGUAAAGUAACUGCUUAGGGAGAUGGUGAUUAGGCAUUCAUACAACAUGGCCAGUCCAGUGAAGUUGAUGGUGGAGGAUAAUAAUAAUAAUAAUAAUAAUAAUAAUAAUAAUAAUAAUAAUAAUAAAACUUUAUUUAUACCCCGCCACCAUCUCCCCAACGGGGACUCGGGGCGGCUUACAUGGGGCCAUGCCCAGGACAAUACAAUAUAGCAAAAUAUAAAAACAACAUAUCAUAAUACAAUUAAACAAUACAAUAAAUAAUCAUGUACAGUACAACACAAAAUCAAAAAAGCAAUAUAACAGGGCGGGCCGCAUGAACACUCAGUUAAAACUUGGGGUGAGAAAAAGAUAAGAAUAAAAACCACGGGGAACAGGGACAUAAGAUAGAAAAACAGUCUAGAGGAUAGAUGUUAGGGGGAGUAACAAAAGAAGGAUCAUCGCUUCAGUGCUGGUGGUCUUUGAUUCUUUCAGAACGUUGAUGUUUGCCACCUGUCUUCCAAAGAGAUCUGCAGGAGUUUUUGAAGGCGGUGCUGAUGGAAGCUUUCCAGAAGUCGAGAGUGGCAUCUGCAGAUGGUCCAUGUUUCACAGGCCUACAGUAGAGUAUGAAGGACAAUGGCUUUAUAAACAAGCAUCUUGGUAUCACUGAAUAUCCCAAUUCUCAAACACUCUGUUUCAUUCCAAAAAAUGAUGCACCCGCAAAGUUCAGACAGUGUUGUUUUUCAAUAUCAAUGUUGAAUUUUGACACAAGAUCCUGUCUGAUCUUGGAAGAUAAGGAGCUCUGGCUAGUAUUUGGAUGGGAGACCACCAAGGAAUACCAGGUACUGUAGGCUAUGUUUCAGAAGAAGCAAAACUACCUUUGAGUAUUCUUACCUAAGAAAACUCUAUGAAAUUGAUGCAGUUACCAUAAAUCAGCAGGUGACUUGAAGGCUCAUGUACACACAAUACUAUACUGUGCAUACUUACUAGAAAGUUCUGAUCCUCAGGGGCAUGGACUUUUAAGUAAACAUGGUUGAUUUAGAUAGUUUCUAGGGAUGAGCAAAUGAUUCAACAGAAGUGGGCAAUCUUCAAACUACAUGUGGUUAAUACGUAUUUCUCAGCACUCAACCAGGUCUCUUCAACCGUCUUUGAAGUGUCUAGAAACAGAAGAGGAAAACCAUCUGAUGAAGUCCUAUGCAAGGACCAUGAGCUUGAUCCAAUUAUAAUUUAAAAAAUGAACCCUUGUAAAUAACAAGAACUUUCAAUAACCGCUGGACGAUUUAUAACCAGUUAACAUUGCAAUGCCAAAUAACUAAUUGCCCAUUGUUUCCUAUUUCAAUUUCUAUAAGUCCCUGUCCCUUUUGACACUGCUAUUUUCCCAGUUAACAUAUGCAAAUGGUGUCCAUUAAGAUGGAGACCUAUGUUGCUGAAGUUUCUCAGGUAUGUGCUCUGAUUUGGGAAGAACGGUAUCAUUUGAUUCCACAGCACGAGCUAUAGCCAAGCUGUAGUUUAAAGAAUAAAAUAAGUCUCACACGUCUGAAAUCCAUUCAUUCUUAAUGUAAUGUGUAAACUAGCUUGUUAAGAAAGUUGAUAUGGUACCCCUGUAUUUUUUUACAGCUGCCAUAUGCUUCAUGGAAAUUGAAAAUAACUCUUUUAAGCCAGUGCUUUUCCAGAUCUUGCUUGAAUUCAAUUUUCUGAAGAGACUCAGGGGUUUCUUGUUAUGUUUGCAUGACACACCAUUGACAUCUCCGGCCCAUCCUCUGUUUGGAUAUCAGCCAGCAUGCCAACACCUUAAAUCAAGGAAUAGCUUUUUAAGAUCUACAGAGAUACUCGCAGGAACACCUCAGCAAGCAAGAGUCCAAAAGUGGCAGGCUAAAACCCGGAACCUAAAUCUGUGGCUGAUACUGGAUGAGAGACUCCCUCCUGGGCACACAGAAGACUGGGCGACUUAGAAGGUGCUGAACAGACUGCGCUCUAGAACCAUGAGAUGCAGAGCCAACCUUAAGAAAUUGGGCUAAAAAGUGGAGUCCACGACGUGCGAGUGUGGAGAAGAGAAAACCACAGACCACUUACUACAAUGCAGUCUGAGCCCUGCCAAAUGCACAGUGGAGGACCUUAUCACAGCGAUACUAGAGGCACUCCAAGUGGCCAGCUUCUGAUAAAAAUUUUUUUAGUAUAAUGCCAAGUUUUAAACUUUGUGGUUUUUUAUACAUUAUAACUGUACAGUGUUCCCUCACUUAUCACAGGGGUUAGGUUCCAGGACCACCCGCAAUAAGUGAAAAUCCGCGAAGUAGGGACACUAUAUUUAUUUUAAUAUUUAUACAUUAUUUUAGUAGUUAUACACUAUUUUAAGUCUUUAUCAGCCAAUUGUGUGUUGAUAAAUCGCCUCCUCCUCCUGUUGCUGCUUGGGCUCCUUUUUUCUCCCUUCAGCUUCUCCUUCCUCCCUUUCUUAGGUUGUAAUUGUAAUUUUUAUGAUUUAUAAUAGUCUUUUAGAGUUUAUUGAAAACCUGCAAAACAGCAAAUCCGCAAAAAGUGAACCACAAAGUUGUGAGGGAACACUGUAUUCUCAAUUAGUUUCUAACACCAUGAAUAAAUAACACUGUAGCUGUCACAUGAAUAUGUCAUGACACACAGUUUGGAAAGCUCUGGAUUAGUGCUUAACAAUCAUAAAUCUUUCUGAAAAUAAACAAUGUUCCCAAGA